Molecule: ribosomal RNA, 654 nt
Filed under: Vibrio sp. 43J(2010)
Lineage: Bacteria; Pseudomonadati; Pseudomonadota; Gammaproteobacteria; Vibrionales; Vibrionaceae
Description: bacterial SSU rRNA
Rfam family: Bacterial small subunit ribosomal RNA
Source: RNAcentral
UGGCUCAGAUUGAACGCUGGCGGCAGGCCUAACACAUGCAAGUCGAGCGGAAACGAAGUUUAACUGAACCUUCGGGGAACGUUAACGGCGUCGAGCGGCGGACGGGUGAGUAAUGCCUGGGAAAUUGCCCUGAUGUGGGGGAUAACCAUUGGAAACGAUGGCUAAUACCGCAUAAUAGCUUCGGCUCAAAGAGGGGGACCUUCGGGCCUCUCGCGUCAGGAUAUGCCCAGGUGGGAUUAGCUAGUUGGUGAGGUAAGGGCUCACCAAGGCGACGAUCCCUAGCUGGUCUGAGAGGAUGAUCAGCCACACUGGAACUGAGACACGGUCCAGACUCCUACGGGAGGCAGCAGUGGGGAAUAUUGCACAAUGGGCGCAAGCCUGAUGCAGCCAUGCCGCGUGUAUGAAGAAGGCCUUCGGGUUGUAAAGUACUUUCAGCAGUGAGGAAGGUGGUAGUGUUAAUAGCACUAUCAUUUGACGUUAGCUGCAGAAGAAGCACCGGCUAACUCCGUGCCAGCAGCCGCGGUAAUACGGAGGGUGCGAGCGUUAAUCGGAAUUACUGGGCGUAAAGCGCAUGCAGGUGGUUUGUUAAGUCAGAUGUGAAAGCCCGGGGCUCAACCUCGGAAUUGCAUUUGAAACUGGCAGACUAGAGUACUG